CAAGCAGACCGGGCAGUCGCGGGGAAACAUGGGUUUCCACGAGGAAAGUCCGGGCUCCGCAGGGCAGGGUGCUGGGUAACGCCCAGUGGGGGUGACCCUAAGGAAAGUGCCACAGAAACAAACCACCCGGUUCUUUAGGGCCGGGAAAGGGUGCAACGGUGCGGUAAGAGCGCACCAGCGGCCGGGUGACCGGCCGGCUAGGUAAACCCCACCCGGAGCAAGACCAAAUAGGAGAGAGAAGAAGCGGCCCGCUGAUCUCUCGGGUUGGUCGCUGGAGGUACAGGGCAACCUGUAUCCUAGAUAGAUGACUGCCGCCCUAACAAGGCACAGAACCCGGCUUACAGGUCUGCUUGGAAC
RNAcentral lists this RNase P RNA (357 nucleotides) under Bacillota bacterium. Its description in RNAcentral is "RNase P RNA component class A". It matches the Rfam family "Bacterial RNase P class A". Rfam says of the family: Ribonuclease P (RNase P) is a ubiquitous endoribonuclease, found in archaea, bacteria and eukarya as well as chloroplasts and mitochondria. Its best characterised activity is the generation of mature 5'-ends of tRNAs by cleaving the 5'-leader elements of precursor-tRNAs. Lineage: Bacteria; Bacillati; Bacillota. The record is from RNAcentral.